RNAcentral lists this transfer RNA (72 nucleotides) under Candidatus Daviesbacteria bacterium RIFCSPHIGHO2_12_FULL_37_11. RNAcentral's name for it is "tRNA-His". It matches the Rfam family "tRNA". Rfam says of the family: Transfer RNA (tRNA) molecules are approximately 80 nucleotides in length. Their secondary structure includes four short double-helical elements and three loops (D, anti-codon, and T loops). Lineage: Bacteria; Candidatus Daviesiibacteriota. RNAcentral also lists the same sequence under 1 other name. The record is from RNAcentral.
GUGGCUGUAGCUCAGCGGCAGAGCGUCUGUUUGUGGAACAGAAAGUGGUGGGUUCAACUCCCAUCAGCCACC